This 271-nucleotide ribosomal RNA is filed under the name uncultured bacterium. RNAcentral describes it as "partial 16S ribosomal RNA". It matches the Rfam family "Bacterial small subunit ribosomal RNA", at positions 524 to 794 of the family's 1533-position model. The record is from RNAcentral.
UACAGAGGGUGCAAGCGUUAAUCGGAAUUACUGGGCAUAAAGCGCACGUAGGCGGGUCCACAAGUCGGUUGUGAAAUCCUGGGGCUUAACCUCAGAACUGCGACCGAUACUAUGGACCUAGAGGGUGAGAGGGGAGAGUGGAACUUCUGGUGGAGCGGUGAAAUGCGUAGAUAUCAGAAGGAACACCGGUGGCGAAAGCGACUCUCUGGUUCACUUCUGACGCUGAGGUGCGAAAGCUAGGGGAGCAAACGGGAUUAGAAACCCUAGUAGU